CCAAGGUAGGAUUGAUGAUUAGGGUGAAGUCGUAACAAGGUAUCCGUACGAGAACGUGCGGANGGAUCACCUCCUUUCUAUGGAGUUAAUACUUUAUAGUAAUUAACUAGUUUUAAUGACCGUUAUGUUUAGUUUUCAGAGAUUAGUUUCUCUGACAAUAGCAAAUAAAUGUUAUUGGAAUUGUUCUUUGAAAACUGGAUAAUAGACAUCUAGUUAUUUUAAUCAAGUGAUUAAAAUAACAAUAAUUCAAAAUUUCUGUUAUUUUUUAAAAAUAACUAAAAUUUCACAGUUAUAUUUGUAAAUAAUUCUCAAAAACUGAUUUAAAAUCAUGUCAAAUAAUUUAUAAAACUUUGAAGUUACAAAGGG
This 366-nucleotide unclassified non-coding RNA is filed under the name Spiroplasma endosymbiont of Medetera petrophiloides. RNAcentral describes it as "partial contains 16S ribosomal RNA, 16S-23S ribosomal RNA intergenic spacer, and 23S ribosomal RNA". The stretch from base 1 to 77 matches the Rfam family "Bacterial small subunit ribosomal RNA", at positions 1457 to 1533 of the family's 1533-position model. RNAcentral also lists the same sequence under 1 other name. Lineage: Bacteria; Bacillati; Mycoplasmatota; Mollicutes; Entomoplasmatales; Spiroplasmataceae. The record is from RNAcentral.